RNAcentral lists this ribosomal RNA (403 nucleotides) under uncultured bacterium. RNAcentral describes it as "partial 16S ribosomal RNA". It matches the Rfam family "Bacterial small subunit ribosomal RNA", at positions 30 to 526 of the family's 1533-position model. The record is from RNAcentral.
AUUGAACGCUAGCGGGAUGCUUUACACAUGCAAGUCGAGCGAGCGGCGGACGGGUGAGUAAUGUAUGGGGACUUCCCGAUAGAGGGGGAUAACUACUGGAAACGGUAGCUAAUACCGCAUACUAUCGGAUAACCCAUAUGGGAUUAGCUAGUAGGUGAGGUAAUGGCUCACCUAGGCGACGAUCCCUAGCUGGUCUGAGAGGAUGAUCAGCAAAACGGGGAAUGAGACACGGCCCAGAAUCCUGCGGAGUCAGAAGUGGGGAAUAUUGCACAAUGGGCGCAAGCCUGAUGCAGCCAUGACGCGUGUAUGAAGAAGGCCCUAGGGUUGUAAAGUACUUUCAGUCGGGAGGCGUUACCGAAAGAAGAAGCACCGGCUAACUCCGUGCCAGCAGCCGCGGUAAUAC